CGGGUAGCGGAACACGUACGCAACCUUCCUUUAACUGGAGAAUAGCCCCUCGAAAGAGGGAUUAAUACUCCGUAACAUAUUGAUAAGGCAUCUUAUUAAUAUUAUAGCUACGGCGGUUAAAGAUGGGCGUGCGCCUGAUUAGAUAGUUGGCGGGGUAACGGCCCACCAAGUCUGCGAUCAGUAACUGGUGUGAGAGCACGACCAGUCACACGGGCACUGAGACACGGGCCCG
This 232-nucleotide ribosomal RNA is filed under the name uncultured bacterium. RNAcentral describes it as "partial 16S ribosomal RNA". It matches the Rfam family "Bacterial small subunit ribosomal RNA", at positions 103 to 334 of the family's 1533-position model. The record is from RNAcentral.